ACGUAGGUGGCAAGCGUUGUCCGGAAUUACUGGGUGUAAAGGGAGCGCAGGCGGGAAAGCAAGUCAGCUGUGAAAUCCAUGGGCUUAACCCAUGAACUGCAGUUGAAACUGUUUUUCUUGAGUGAAGUAGAGGUUGGCGGAAUUCCGAGUGUAGCGGUGAAAUGCGUAGAUAUUCGGAGGAACACCGGUGGCGAAGGCGGCCAACUGGGCUUUUACUGACGCUGAGGCUCGAAAGUGUGGGGAGCAAACAG
This 251-nucleotide ribosomal RNA is filed under the name uncultured bacterium. RNAcentral describes it as "partial 16S ribosomal RNA". It matches the Rfam family "Bacterial small subunit ribosomal RNA", at positions 525 to 775 of the family's 1533-position model. The record is from RNAcentral.